This is a long non-coding RNA of Aedes aegypti (yellow fever mosquito), 420 nucleotides long. RefSeq lists it as uncharacterized. The record is from RefSeq and is a predicted model, not a curated record. NCBI's taxonomy places the organism in Eukaryota, Metazoa, Arthropoda, Insecta, Diptera, Culicidae. The transcript has 2 exons.
AAAUGACCUAGCCUAGGGCCAAGAAUCUUUCUAAAGAAUUUUCGAUUGAGAUACCUUCAAGAAUUCAACUUGGAUUUUUCAAUAAGGAUAACCCCAGAAAUUGUUCCAGUAUUCCACCAUGUAGGGAUUGAGAGGGGUACUAUAGAAGAUAUCAAAUAAGCAGGAGGGCAUAUAGUUCCAGUAACAAUGAAAACCUAAGCAAACGGGAAAAGGCGAAUGACACGUCAGUCUUGUAAAGUGUUUCGAGCGAUGAAGUUGCGAUGGAAUUGCUCCUGUUGCAAUUCGGCUAAUUGAGCCAUUAGUUUUGAAUGUGCCGGUUCCUCCUUCCGGACACUACAAUGGCACAGUUGUUUUGUUUGGCAUUGCCGUUGAUGUAAACCAAGACGAUAGAGGUUGAUAUUGGAAUCAUUUGUGUUGGUA